Molecule: ribosomal RNA, 609 nt
Filed under: uncultured Lachnospiraceae bacterium
Lineage: Bacteria; Bacillati; Bacillota; Clostridia; Lachnospirales; Lachnospiraceae
Description: bacterial SSU rRNA
Rfam family: Bacterial small subunit ribosomal RNA
Source: RNAcentral
CGGUGUCGUCGCAAACGCAAUAAGUAUUCCACCUGGGGAGUACGUUCGCAAGAAUGAAACUCAAGGGAAUUGACGGGGACCCGCACAAGCGGUGGAGCAUGUGGUUUAAUUCGAAGCAACGCGAAGAACCUUACCUGCUCUUGACAUCCCAUUCGAUAGAGGGUAAUGCUUCUAGCCCUUCGGGGGAAUGGAGACAGGUGGUGCAUGGUUGUCGUCAGCUCGUGUCGUGAGAUGUUGGGUUAAGUCCCGCAACGAGCGCAACCCUUAUUGUCAGUAGCCAGCAGUUAGGCUGGGCACUCUGAUGAGACUGCCGGGGAUAACCCGGAGGAGGGUGGGGAUGACGUCAAAUCAUCAUGCCCCUUAUGAGCAGGGCUACACACGUGCUACAAUGGCGUAAACAGAGGGAAGCGAAGGAGUGAUCCGGAGCAAAUCCCAAAAAUAACGUCUCAGUUCGGAUUGUAGUCUGCAACUCGACUACAUGAAGCUGGAAUCGCUAGUAAUCGCAGAUCAGAAUGCUGCGGUGAAUACGUUCCCGGGUCUUGUACACACCGCCCGUCACACCAUGGGAGUCGGUAAUGCCCGAAGUCAGUGACUCAACCGAAAGGAGAG